AGCGAACGCUGGCGGCAGGCCUAACACAUGCAAGUCGAACGAAGUUUUCGGACUUAGUGGCGGACGGGUGAGUAACACGUGGGAACGUGCCUUUAGGUUCGGAAUAACUCAGGGAAACUUGUGCUAAUACCGAAUGUGCCCUUCGUGGGAAAGAUUUAUCGCCUUCAGGGCGGCCCGCGUCUGAUUAGCUAGUUGGUGAGGUAAAGGCUCACCAAGGCGAGGAUCAGUAGCUGGUCUGAGAGGAUGAUCAGCCACAUUGGGACUGAGACACGGCCCAAACUCCUACGGGAGGCAGCAGUGGGGAAUCUUGCGCAAUGGGCGAAAGCCUGACGCAGCCAUGCCGCGUGAAUGAUGAAGGUCUUAGGAUUGUAAAAUUCUUUCACCGGGGACGAUAAUGACGGUACCCGGAGAAGAAGCCCCGGCUAACUUCGUGCCAGCAGCCGCCGUAA
RNAcentral lists this ribosomal RNA (449 nucleotides) under uncultured bacterium. RNAcentral describes it as "partial 16S ribosomal RNA". It matches the Rfam family "Bacterial small subunit ribosomal RNA", at positions 29 to 523 of the family's 1533-position model. The record is from RNAcentral.